This 409-nucleotide long non-coding RNA is filed under the name Suricata suricatta (meerkat). RNAcentral describes it as "lncRNA (ENSSSUG00005008173.1)". Lineage: Eukaryota; Metazoa; Chordata; Mammalia; Carnivora; Herpestidae. The record is from RNAcentral.
UGUGUAUGAAAAAUACGAAGAAAUACCAAGCACCUGUCUUACAAGUGAGGCAAUGUUUUUACCGCUGGUUGAGAUGCUUGAUGCUUGGCAAACGCCGUACACAGGAGGCCUGAUGGCUGCGGAGGGGCUUUCUCACAGCAGACCGGCGGACAUCAUUUUCCUUCAAGAGGUUGUAAAGUUUGCGGAUUCUGCUAGAUCUUUCCGGCUCCAGGCAAUGAGGCACCGUAGUAUCAGUGAUGAGGUGCUGCCACUGUGUCAGGAUGGGACACUGAGAACUCGUGCUGGGAAGAGAGCAUCGUGUGACUCCCAAAGAGCAGCCUGUGAAGGGACUGAUCUGAGUUGCUCAGAGUAUUGGGCACAGUGCACAGCACAAGCCUGGCGUGUGUACACAGUAGGAGGGGCGGACUGA